CCUACGGGGGGCAGCAGUGGGGAAUAUUGGACAAUGGGGGCAACCCUGAUCCAGCCAUGCCGCGUGUGUGAAGAAGGCCUUUUGGUUGUAAAGCACUUUAAGCAGGGAGGAGAGGCUAAUGGUUAAUACCCAUUAGAUUAGACGUUACCUGCAGAAUAAGCACCGGCUAACUCUGUGCCAGCAGCCGCGGUAAUACAGAGGGUGCGAGCGUUAAUCGGAAUUACUGGGCGUAAAGCGAGUGUAGGUGGCUCAUUAAGUCACAUGUGAAAUCCCCGGGCUUAACCUGGGAACUGCAUGUGAUACUGGUGGUGCUAGAAUAUGUGAGAGGGAAGUAGAAUUCCAGGUGUAGCGGUGAAAUGCGUAGA
Molecule: ribosomal RNA, 365 nt
Filed under: uncultured bacterium
Lineage: Bacteria
Description: bacterial SSU rRNA
Rfam family: Bacterial small subunit ribosomal RNA
Source: RNAcentral